UUGACCUCGGAUCAGGUAGGGAUACCCGCUGAACUUAAGCAACCAACAGGGAUUGCCUCAGUAACGGCGAGUGAAGCGGCAAAAGCUCAAAUUUUAAAGCUGACAUCUUCGGUGUUCGCGUUGUAAUUUUGUGAGGCAUCUCCGGGUAGGGCGCCGGCCUAAGUUCCUUGGAACAGGACGUCACAGAGGGUGAGAAUCCCGUGCUUGGCUGGCUGUCCCCGUCCAUGUGAGGUGUCUUCGACGAGUCGAGUUGUUUGGGAAUGCAGCUCAAAAUGGGUGGUAAAUUUCAUCUAAAGCUAAAUAUUGGUGGGAGACCGAUAGCGCACAAGUAGAGUGAUCGAAAGAUGAAAAGCACUUUGAAAAUAGAGUUAAAAAGUACGUGAAAUUGUUGAAAGGGAAGCGCUUGAGACCAGACUUCGGUAAGGGGUGAUCAGCCGUCCUUCUGGGCGGUGCACUUGCCCCCCUCCGGGCCAGCAUCGGUUGAGGCGGUGGGAUAAAGGUCCCGGGAAUGUGGCUCCUUCACGGGAGUGUUAUAGCCCGGGUGAAUGCCGACAGCUUCGACCGAGGACCGCACCCGCAA
This 580-nucleotide ribosomal RNA is filed under the name Morchella australiana. RNAcentral's name for it is "eukaryotic LSU rRNA". It matches the Rfam family "Eukaryotic large subunit ribosomal RNA", at positions 1 to 605 of the family's 3401-position model. Lineage: Eukaryota; Fungi; Ascomycota; Pezizomycetes; Pezizales; Morchellaceae. The record is from RNAcentral.